Molecule: long non-coding RNA, 37174 nt
Filed under: Zea mays
Lineage: Eukaryota; Viridiplantae; Streptophyta; Magnoliopsida; Poales; Poaceae
Description: long non-coding RNA (ZMAY_LNC000448)
Source: RNAcentral
CAUUCUCGUUGCCCGCCAGCUUAUCAAAAGCGUAGCAUCAUAAUCAAAGUUAACCUGAAAUAAAUUUGGACAACAUUACCAAAAGAAUACACAGAGUAAAAAACUAUACAAAAUACCGAUCAAACUCUAUUAGCCAAUAGACGUAUCCUUCUAGGUAAGCAACUAACAAUGUACAAUCCCCUCUGAAAUAUGGAAUUGAUCUCUAAUACUGUGAUUAGUAAAAAGCGAACAUUCAACCAAAAAAUUAAGACCCCCAUUUAACAUGUACAAUGUGAGACCAACAACACAAACAAUUUGGUGAGCAAAUAUGGCAUGUAAGGCAAUUGGUCUAGAAUUAAACGUGUCCGUUGUUCACCUCAAACCCAGAUGUAUUCAUGUUUUAUAUCAAAUUCAGAUUUGGGUUGAACUAAAAUAAUAGUUUCCCCAAUAGAAUAUAGCAGCUGCAUCUCAGUGGACACUACGUGGGCGACAUGAGCAGUGCUUGUAGAAAGAAGGGAUAUUUUGAAACAACAUUUUUCGUAAAAAAAGAAAACAGAAUAGUAGUGGGCAUCAUAGGUCAUAGUCCAUAACUGUUUUGAUGAGAUAAAAGAUAUGUACCUUGACGAUUUGUAUAGCCAAACCGUCAGCGAUGUUGCGGACAUCUCCCCCAUCCAGCUAAUAUAUACAACAACUUGAGAAAAGUAGUAAUAGAUGAUAAUCCUGAAUUACACAUGGCUGCAACCGUGAAGGCAAAAGGUCCACGUUCCUUGACCAGCACCUAAUUAUCUUUGUCAUCACUGAAAAGGUAGCAGACGCAAUUGUAGUCAAACAACAGCAUGCAUAUAUGUUUGAUAUAUCAAAAAUGGAAAGCCUCGACCCCCAACUUGAGAUCUUUCAAUACAUGUAAAUUCUAGACAACAUAGGCGAAUGUCUGGGUAAAACUUCUGUCCAAACUACUCAAAAAAUUAGAACAAUUAAACUCAGACUAGAAAAGCAGAAGUAAAUCAGCCAUUGUACGAUGGUGGAGGAAAAUAAAGGCAUUCGAUCUUGUGACAUUCUUAUGAAGCAUCAACUUACCUCUCUAACAGUCUUAUGGAUCCAUUUGAGUCAUUGAUGGUGGGUGAGGGUGCCAUUGUAUGCUACUCACUCCCUCCUGAUCUCAUCUAGGUUCAGUUUACAAUGAUCGGUAGAUCAAGUGUUACACAAAGUAACGUGGCUAGGCCAAGUGUUCGCUACAGAUGUGUACAAGCCAAGAAAAGGAAAUCAAAAAACUGUCCAUACAUUAUCACAUUUCAUAUUCAAAUGACAGACUCAACUUGCUAAGGAACCUGAGAGAACCGACCUAGUAUUUAUUGAUCUUACAGAAUGUAUGGUGAAUAGCUUUAUAUUGAAACCAUAAUUCCACAAAUUGAGACAUUCUGAAAAAUGAUAUUAGUUCUGUCCUUGUAGAUUUACUGUCUAUGAAGUAGCAGAUUUGGGGUUCCAAUGGCCGCUAGUGCUAUGAGGUCAAUCCUUUCCUUGCUUACAUUUGCGAUUUCAAAAUUUUCAAGAUGUCAUAAAGUGGGUAAGUACUACUGGUUAUGAGCAUUUAGAUCCUAUAGUAACUGAUGAUCUUGAACUGCAGAUACAUGAAGAGCUGAAGAAAUUUUAUUCUUGUACUCGUUCUAGAAGGGCAAGGGGAGGGCUAUAGAAAUUUUAUUUCUGCACUCCAACGGUUAUGCUCUAAGUCAUGUAUUUUAGGAAACAAAUUAUAUUAUCAGGAAAGAAAAGGUUUGGGAUAAUAUAGAAAACAAGGAUAUAUCACUAAUCUGGGAUGCAGUAUAUUUAGGUCAAUUCAUUAUAUGCUUUAUAUUUUUUGGAAGAGACUAUAAUUUAGGACACUAUUUAAAUUGUUUUUAUAAGUUUAGAUCUAUAUUUUAAGAUAUGACACCAAUUUAAGGGACCUUGGAGAUGCUCUGACAGAAGUGUUGAUAACAGACUUGCUAGUGAGAUCUCAAGCAGCUAGCUAGCUCGGUGUUUAAGGAACUCGCUGCCUUUCACACUUUGGACCUUUUGCUCGGUUAGUUUCAGUGCUACAGCCCUAAAUUUGACUUAUGGGCUAUGGCCUUAGCCUAUAAAGACAUCAACACAAUAUACCUUGUAUCUUUCAAACUUAAUUAUUUUAUACUCUAUAUUUCAGAUGACUGAACAAUAUACCUUGUAUCUUUCAAACACAAUAUACCUUUUAUACUCUAUAUUUCAGAUGACAAUACACAGUAAUUGAUAACCCUUCUCAGACUGAACAAAAAACGACUUAGGCCCCCCUACCAAAUCGCUCCAAGGUAUCUUAGUGCAAGAGGGAAUAAACAAACAAAAUUCUCCAAACGGAUUUCAGAUGCUUAUUGAAAGUCGCCUAGAGGGGGGGUGAAUAGGGCGAAUCUAAAAUUUAUGAACUUAAGCACAACUACAAGCCAGGUUAGCGUUAGAAAUAUAAACGAGUCCGAGAGAGAGGGCGCAAAACAAAUCGUGAUCAAAUAAAGAGCGAGACACGAUGAUUUGUUUUUCCGAGAUUCGGUUCUUGCAAACCUACUCCCCGUUGAGGUGGUCACGAAGACCAGGUCUCUUUCAACCCUUUCCCUCUCUCAAACGGUCACCUAGACUAAGUGAGCUUCUCUUCUCAAUCAAACGGAACACGAAGUUCCCGCAAGGACCACCAUACAAUCGGUGUCUCUUGCCUUGGUUACAAUUGAGUUUGAUCACAAGAAGAAUGAGAAAGAAAAGAAGCAAUUCAAGCGCAAGAGCUCAAAUGAACACAACAAAUCUCUCUCUCUAAUCACUAAAGCUUUGUGUGGAGUUGGGAGAAGAUUUGAUCUCUUUGGUGUGUCUUGAAUUCAAUGCUAUAGCUCUUGUAAGGUGUAGAAGUGUAGAAACUUGGAUGCCAUUGAAUGUGGGGUGGUUGGGGUAUUUAUAGCCCCAACCACCAAAAAUGGCCGUUGGAAGUGUGUUGUCGCAUGGCGCACCGGACAGUGCGGUGCGCCACCGGACACUGUCUGGUGCGCCAGCCACGUUAGCCAGCCGUUGGGGUUCGACUGUUGGAGAUCUGACUUGUGGGGCCUCUGGGCUGUCCGGUGGUGCACCGGACAAGUCCUAUAGACUGUCUGGUGCGCCAACUGCGCGUGCUCUGACUCUGGCACGCACUGUAGCGCAAUUAAUGCGGUUGUAGAUGACCGUUGCGCACGAAGUAGCCGUUGCUCCGCUGGCACACCGGACAGUCCAGUGUGGCACUGGACAGUCCGGUGUGGCACCGGACAGUCCGGUGAAUUAUAGCGGAGCGCCCUCUGAUUUUCCCGAAGGUAGCGAGUUCAGCGUUGAGUGCCCUGGUGCACCGGACACUGUCCGGUGGUGCACCAGACACGGUCCGGUGGCACACCGGACGGUCCGGUGCGCCAGACCAGGGUGCCUUGGGUUGUCUUUUGCUCUCUUUGUUUGAAUGCUAUAGCUCUUGUAAUGUGUUGAAGGUGGAAAACUUGGAUGCUAUUGAAUAUGGGGUGGUUGGGGUAUUUAUAGCCCCAACCACCAAAAUAUGGCUGUUGGAAGACUGCUGUCGCAUGGCGCACCGGACAGUCCGGUGCGCCACCGGACACUGUCCUGUGCGCCAGCCACGUCAGCCAGCCGUUGGGGUUCGACCGUUGGAGCUCUGACUUGUGGGGCCUCUGGGCUGUCCGGUGGUGCACCGGACAGGUCCUGUAGACUGUUUGUUGCGCCAAUUGCGUGUGCUCUGUCCUCUACGCGCGCAGGCGCGCAUUAAAUGUGUUGCAGUCGACCGUUGCGCGCGAAGUAGCCGUUGCUCCGCUGGUACACCGGACACUAUCCGGUGCUUCACCGGACAGUCCGGUGAAUUAUAGCGGGGCGGCCUCCUAUUUUCCCGAAGGUGGCAAGUUCAGCUUCGAGUUCCCUGGUGCACCGGACACUGUCCGGUGGUGCACCGGACACGGUCCGGUGGCACACCGGACGGUCCGGUGCGCCAGACCAGGGUGCCUUGGGUUGUCUUUUGCUCUCUUUGUUUGAACCCUUUCUUGGUCUUUUUAUUGGCUUAAUGUGAACCUUUGGCACCUGUAAAACCUAUAGACUAGACCAAACUAGUUAGUCCAAUUAUUUGUGUUGGGCAAUUCAACCACCAAAAUCAAUUAGGAAAUAGGUGUAACCCUAAUUCCCUUUCAAUCUCCCCCUUUUUGGUGAUUAAUGCCAACACACACCAAAGCAAGUAUAGAAGUGCAUAAUUGAACUAGUUUGCAAAAUGUAAGUGCAAAGGUUACUAAGAAUUGAACCAGUAAUUAUUUUCGUAAGAUAGGCAUGGAUUGUUUCUUUAUAUUCUCAACAUUUUGGACCACGCUUGCACCACAUGUUUUGUUUUUGUAAAUACUUUUGUAAAUUCUUUUCAAAGUUCUUUUGCAAGUAGUCAAAGGUAAAUGAGUAAGAUUUUAAGAAGCAUUUUCAAGAUUUGAAAUUUUCUCCCCCUGUUUCAAAUGCUUUUCCUUUGACUAAACAAAACUCCCCCUAUAUAGGAUCUUCCUCUUAGUGUUCAAGAGGGUUUUAAGAUAUCAAUUUUGAAAAUACUAUUUUCUCCCCCUUUUGAACAUAAUGAGAUACCAAUUUGAAAACAUCAUUUUAAAAAAAAAUUAGGUGGUGGUGCGGUCCUUUUGCUUUGGGCUAAUACUUUCUCCCCUUUGGCAUGAAUCGCCAAAAAACGGAUACUUGAGUGAAAUAUAAGCCCUUGUAGAACUACUUUCUCCCUUUUUGGCAAACAAAAUAUAAGUGAAGAUUACACCGAAGUCGGAGAGUUGUUCGGAGCGACGACGAAGGAUGAGUUGAUGGAGUGGAGUGGAAGCCUUUGUCUUCGCCGAAGACUCCAAUUCCCUUUCAAUACACCUAUGACUUGGUUUGAAAUAUACUUGAAAACACAUUAGUCAUAGCACAUGAAAGAGAUAUGAUCAAAGGUAUAUUUAUGAGCUAUGUAUGCAAGACAUUAAAAGAAAUUCCGAGAAUCAAGAAUAUUUAGCUCAUGCCUAAGUUUGUUAAAGGUUUGUUCAUCUAGUGCUUGGUAAAGAUAUCGGCUAAUUGUUCUUUAGUGUUGAUAUAAGCAAUCUCGAUAUCCCCCUUUUGUUGGUGAUCCCUUAGAAAAUGAUACCGAAUGGCUAUGUGUUUAGUGCGGCUAUCUCAACGGGGUUAUCUGCCAUGCGGAUUGCACUCUCAUUAUCACAUAGAACAGGAACUUUGGUUAAUUUGUAACCAUAGUCCCUAAGGGUUUGCCUCAUCCAAAGCAAUUGCGCGCAACAAUGGCCUGCGACAAUAUACUCGGCUUCGGCGGUAGAAAGAGCGACGGAAUUUUGCUUCUUUGAAGCCCAAGACACCAAGGAUCUUCCCAAGAACUGGCAAGUCCCCGAUGUGCUCUUUCUAUUAAUUUUACACCCCGCCCAAUCGGCAUCCGAAUAACCAAUCAAAUCAAAUGUGGAUCCCCGAGGAUACCAAAGCCCAAACUUAGGAGUAUAAACUAAAUAUCUCAAGAUUCGUUUUACGACCGUAAGGUGAGCUUCCUUAGGGUCGGCUUGGAAUCUUGCACACAUGCAUACGGAAAGCAUUAUGUCCGGUCGAGAUGCACAUAAAUAGAGUAGAGAGACUAUCAUCGACCGGUAUACCUUUUGAUCUACGGAUUUACCUCCCGUGUCGAGGUCGAGAUGCCCAUUGGUUCCCAUGGGUGUCUUAAUGGGCUUGGCAUCCUUCAUCCCAAACUUGUUUAGAAUGUCUUGAAUAUACUUCGUUUGGCUAAUGAAGAUGCCCUCUUGGAGUUGCUUCACUUGAAAUCCUAAGAAGUACUUCAACUCCCCCAUCAUCGACAUCUCGAAUUUUUGUGUCAUGAUCCUACUAAAUUCCUCACAUGUAGAUUCGUUAGUAGACCCAAAUAUAAUAUCAUCAACAUAAAUUUGGCAUACAAACAAAUCAUUGUCAAGAGUUUUAGUAAAUAAAGUAGGAUCAGCCUUUUCGACUUUGAAGCCAUUAGUGAUAAGAAAAUCUCUUAGACAUUCAUACCAUGCUCUUGGGGCUUGCUUGAGCCCAUAAAGCGCCUUAGAGAGUUUAUAUACGUGGUUAGGAUACUCACUAUCUUCAAAGCCGGGAGGUUGCUCAACAUAGACCUCUUCCUUGAUUGGUGCAUUGAGGAAGGCACUUUUCACAUCCAUUUGAUAAAGCUUGAAGCCAUGGUAAGUAGCAUAGGCAAGUAAAAUGUGAAUUGACUCAAGCCUAGCUACGGGUGCAUAGGUUUCACCGAAAUCCAAACCUUCGACUUGUGAAUAUCCCUUGGCCACAAGUCGGGCUUUGUUCCUUGUCACCACACCAUGCUCGUCUUGCUUGUUGCGGAAGACCCAUUUGGUUUCUACAACAUUUUGAUUAGGACGUGGAACUAAUUGCCAUACCUCGUUCCUAGUGAAGUUGUUGAGCUCUUCUUGCAUCGCCACCACCCAAUCCGAAUCUUGGAGUGCUUCCUCUACCCUAUGUGGCUCAAUAGAGGAAACAAAAGAGUAAUGCUCACAAAAAUGUGCAACACGAGAUCUAGUGGUUACCCCCUUAUGAAUAUCGCCGAGGAUGGUGUUGACGGGGUGAUCUCGUUGGAUUGCUUGGUGGACUCUUGGUUGUGGCGGUCUUGGAACUUGUUCGUCUUCCUUAUCUUGAUCAUGGGCAUCUCCCCCUUGAUCAUUGCUCUCCUCUUGAGGUGGCUCAACUUCUUGAUAUUCUCCUUCAUCAUUUUGAGCCUCAUCCUCUUCUUGAGUUGGUGGAGAUGCUUGCAUGGAGGAAGAUGGUUGAUCUUGUGCUUGAGGUGGCUCUUCGGAUUCCUUAGGACACACAUCCCCAAUGGACAUGUUCCUUAGCGCGACGCACGGAGCCUCUUCAUCACCUAUCUCAUCAAGAUCAACUUGCUCUACUUGAGAGCCGUUAGUCUCAUCAAACACAAUGUCACAAGAAACUUCAACUUGUCCAGAGGACUUGUUAAAGACUCUAUAUGCUCUUGUGUUUGAAUCAUAUCCUAGUAAAAAGCCUUCUACAGUCUUAGGAGCAAAUUUGGAUUUUCUACCUCUUUUGACAAGAAUAAAGCAUUUGCUACCAAAGACUUUAAAAUAUGAAACAUUGGGCUUUUUACCGGUAAGGAGUUUGUAUGAUGUCUUCUUGAGGAUUCGGUGUAGAUACAACCGGUUGAUGGCGUAGCAAGCGGUGUUGACCAUCUCGGCCCAAAACCGAUCCGAAGUCUUGUACUCAUCAAGCAUGGUUCUUGCCAUGUCUAAUAGAGUUCUAUUCUUCCUCUCCACUACACCAUUUUGUUGUGGGGUGUAGGUGAAAGGGAAAUGUGCCCUUGGGCCAUUUCUAAGUAUUUUGGUGAUUUAGUGUCCAACACAAGUGCCUAAGUGUAAAAUGGUGGACAAAGUACAAAUCAAGGAUAAAGGUAUGUUUCUCAGACUUAGUACAUUGUUUUAUGGACUAAUCUAUUGUGUCUAAGUGCUGGAAACAGGAAAAAUCCAAUUGGAAUUGUCUUGGCUCGAGCAGCCAAGACUCUGCUCAGUCUGGGAGCACCGGACUGUCCGGUGGUGCACCGGACAGUGUCUGGUGCGCCAGGCUGGUUCGAGCGAAGUGGCCGCUCUCGGGAAUUCACCGGCGACGUACGGCUAUAAUUCAUCGGACUGUCCGGUGUGCACCGGACUGUCCGGUGAGCCAACGGUCGGCCGCGCGAUCUGCGCGGGACACGUGGCCGAGCCAACGGCUAGAAGGGGGCACCGGACUGUCCGGUGUGCACCGGACAUGUCCGGUGCGCCAACGGCUCUCUGGCGGCCAACGGUCGGCUGCGCCAGUUAAGGAAAGAAAUCGGGCACCGGACAGUGUCCGGUGUGCACAAGACUGUCCGGUGCGCCAGUCGACAGAAGGCAAGAUCAGCCUUCCUAGAUUGCUCUCAACGGCUCCUAGUUGCCUUGGGGCUAUAAAAGGGACCCCUAGGCGCAUGGAGGAGAACACCAAGCAUUCUUACAACAUUCCUAAGCACCAAGACAUCGAUUCCACGCCUUUGAUUCUUUGCGAUAGCAAUUAGAGCUCUAGUUGAGUGGUGAACUCUUUGAGUUGUGUUGAGAGCUCUCCUUGUGACUUGUGUGCGUGGUGUUGCUGUGAUUUCUUGUCUUGAGUGCGUUGCUAAUCCCUCCCUUGCUCUGUGUUUCUUUGUGAUCUUAAAGUGUAAGGGCGAGAGGCUCCAAGUUGUGGAGAUUCCUCGCAAACGGGAUUGAGUAAAAGUAAGCAAAACACCGUGGUAUUCAAGUGGGUCUUUGGACCGCUUGAGAGGGGUUGAUUGCAACCCUCGUCCGUUGGGACGCCACAACGUGGAGUAGGCAAGCGUUGGUCUUGGCCGAACCACGGGAUAACCACCGUGCCAUCUCUGAGAUUGAUCUUGUUGGUUAUUGUGUUUUGUUGAAGAUUCCUCUCUAGCCACUUGGCGGUUAUUGUGCUAACACUUAACCAAGUUUUUGUGGCUUAAGUUUUCAAGAUUUACAGGAUCACCUAUUCACCCCCCCCCUCUAGGUGCUCUCAAUUGGUAUCGGAGCCGUUCUCUUCAAGAAAGGGACUAACCGCCCGAAGAGAUGGAUCCUAAGGGCAAGGGGAUGGUGAUCAACGACAAGGAGAAGGAGUCCUUCGUCAACGAGCCCAAUGAUGACAGGCCCACCGACUCAGGCUCGGGCCACAAAAGAAAAGACGGGAGGAAGAAGAAGACAAGGCGCAUCAAGGAAAUUGUCUACUACGACAGCGACGGAUCUUCCUCCUCCCAAAAGGACAACGACGACUACGACAGACGAAAGACGGUUAACUCAAACUUUUCUUUCAAUUAUUCGCGCAUUCUGCAUAGCUCAAAUGCUCAAUUGCUCCCCAUUCCACUUGGCAAGCCCCCUCACUUUGAUGGAGAGGACUACGGAUUUUGGAGCCACAAAAUGCGUACUCACCUGUUUUCUCUCCAUCCAAGCAUUUGGGAGAUUGUGGAAAGUGGAAUGAAAUUUGUUAGCUCGGAUAGCCCUGUGUUUAUUAAUGAACAGAUUCAUAAAAAUGCACAAGCUGCUACUGUGUUGCUAGCCUCUUUGUGCAGGGACGAGUAUCACAAGGUGAGCGGCUUGGACAAUGCCAAGCAGAUCUGGGACACCCUCAAGAUCUCUCAUGAGGGGAACGACGUCACCUUGCUCACCAAAAUGGAGUUGGUGGAGGGCGAGCUUGGAAGGUUCGCGAUGAUAAGGGGCGAGGAGCCAACUCAAACAUACAACCGGCUCAAGACCCUUAUCAACAAAAUAAGGAGCUACGGAAGCACGCGAUGGACGGACCACGACGUCGUCCGACUGAUGCUAAGGUCCUUUACCGUUCUUGAUCCUCAUUUGGUGAAUAAUAUUCGUGAGAAUCCCAGGUACACCAAAAUGUCGCCCGAAGAAGUCCUCGGAAAAUUCGUUAGCGGGCGAAUGAUGAUCAAGGAGGUGAGGUACGUGGACGACGCCUUGAAUGGUCCAAUCAACGAGUCGCAACCCCUUGCUCUCAAGGCAACAAGAAGCAAGGAGGCGCUACCUAGCAAGUUGGCACAGAUUGAGGCGGCCGGACUUAAUGAUGAAGAGAUGGCCCUCAUCAUCAAAAGAUUCAAGACGGCGCUUAAGGGUCGCAAGGGACAGCCAAGCAAGACCAAAGCCAAGGGGAAGCGCUCAUGCUUCAAAUGCGGUAAGCUUGGUCAUUUUAUUGCUAACUGUCCUGACAAUGAUAGUGAUCAGGAACAAGGGAACAAGAGGGAGAAGAAGAAGAAGUAUAAGAAGGCAAAAGGCGAGGCGCAUCUAGGCAAGGAGUGGGAUUCGGAUUGCUCCUCUUCCGACUCUGACAAUGAGGGACUCGCCGCCACCGCCUUCAACAAAUCGGCCCUCUUUCCAAACGAGCGUCACACAUGCCUUAUGGCAAGAGAGAAGAAGGUAUGUACUCAAAACUCUACUUAUGCUUCUUCAAGUGAGGACGAAUCUAGUAAUGAGGAUGAAAUAGAUUAUUCAUGUUUGUUUAAGGGCCUAGAUAGAACCAAGGUAGACAAAAUUAAUGAAUUGAUUGAUGCCUUGAAUGAUAAGAAUAUGCUUUUAGAAAAGCAAGAGGAUUUGUUGUAUGAAGAACAUGAUAAAUUUGUAGAAGCACAAAAGUCUCUUGCUCUAGAAAUUAAAAGGAAUGAAAUGCUCUCUAGUGAAUUAUCUUCUUGUCAUGAAACUAUUGCUACGUUAAAAAGUUUUAAUGAUGAUUUAAAUGCUAAACUAGAAGUAGCUAGUAAAUCUAAUUCUUGUGUAGAAAUUGUUGAAACUUGUAAUAGGUGUAAAGAUUUUGACAUUGAUGCUUGUAGUGAUCAUUUAGUUUCAAUUUCCAAAUUAAAUGAGGAAUUAGCUAGUCUUAAUGCCCAACUUAAGACUAGCAAGAACGAAUUUGACAAGCUAAAAUUUGCAAGGGAUGCCUACACGAUUGGUAGACACCCCUCAAUUAAGGAUGGACUUGGCUACAAGAGGGAAGCCAAGAACUUGACAAGCCAUAAGGCUCCCAUCUCCGCCAAGGAGAAAGGGAAGGCCCCUAUGACUAGUAGUGUGCAAAAGAACCAUGCCUUUAUGUACCAUGAUAGGAGACAAUCUAGAAAAGCUUAUAGGAGUUGUAAUGCAUAUAAUGCCUUUGAUUCUCAUGCCAUGUUUGCUUCUAGUUCUUCUUAUGUGCAUAAUAGAAAUGUUGGUAGGAGAACAUAAUAUGCCUAGGAGAAAUGUUGUUAAUGUUCCUAGGAAAGUAAAUGAACCUUCUACAAUAUAUCAUGCUUUAAAUGCUGCUUUUGCUAUUUGUAGAAAGGAUAGGAAGAUAGUUGCUAGAAAAUUAGGGGCAAGAUGCAAGGGAGACAAAACUUGCAUUUGGGUCCCUAAGGAUAUUUGUGCUAACCUUGUAGGACCCAACAUGAGUUGGGUACCUAAGACCCAAGCCUAAAUUUGCCUUGCAGGUUUAUGCAUCCGGGGGUUCAAGCUGGAUUAUUGACAGCGGAUGCACAAACCAUAUGACGGGGGAGAAGAAGAUGUUCACCUCCUACGUCAAAAACAAAGAUUCCCAAGAUUCAAUAAUAUUCGGUGAUGGGAAUCAAGGCAAAGUAAAAGGGCUAGGUAAAAUUGCAAUCUCCAAUGAGCACUCUAUCUCUAAUGUGUUUUUAGUAGAGUCUCUUGGAUAUAAUUUACUAUCUGUUAGUCAAUUAUGUAAUAUGGGAUAUAAUUGUUUAUUUACAAAUGUAGAUGUGUCUGUCUUUAGAAGAUGUGAUGGUUCACUAGCUUUUAAGGGUGUACUAGACGGCAAACUUUACUUAGUUGAUUUUGCAAAAGAAGAGGCCGGUCUAGAUGCAUGCUUAAUUGCUAAGACUUGCAUGGGCUGGUUGUGGCAUCGCUGCUUAGCACAUGUGGGGAUGAAGAACCUCCACAAGCUUCUAAAGGGAGAACACGUGAUAGGUCUAACCAAUGUUCAUUUCGAAAAAGAUAGACCUUGUGCAGCUUGUCAAGCAGGUAAACAAGUGGGAGGAGCACAUCACAGCAAGAAUGUGAUGACCACGUCAAGACCUCUGGAGCUGCUGCAUAUGGACCUCUUCGGACCCGUCGCCUAUCUGAGCAUAGGAGGAAGUAAGUAUGGUCUAGUUAUAGUUGAUGACUUUUCCCGCUUCACUUGGGUGUUCUUUUUGCAGGAUAAGUCUGAAACCCAAGGGACCCUCAAGCGCUUCCUAAGGAGAGCUCAAAAUGAGUUUGAGCUCAAGGUGAAGAAGAUAAGGAGCGACAACGGGUCCGAAUUCAAGAACCUUCAAGUGGAGGAGUUCCUUGAGGAGGAGGGGAUCAAGCACGAGUUCUCCGCUCCCUACACACCUCAACAAAAUGGUGUGGUAGAGAGGAAGAACAGGACGCUCAUAGAUAUGGCGAGGACUAUGCUUGGAGAGUUCAAGACCCCCGAGUGCUUUUGGUCGGAAGCCGUGAACACGGCUUGCCACGCCAUCAACAGGAUCUACCUUCACCGCCUCCUCAAGAAGACUUCAUAUGAGCUGCUGACUGGUAACAAACCCAAUGUAUCGUACUUUCGUGUAUUUGGGAGUAAAUGCUACAUUCUAGUGAAGAAGGGUAGGAAUUCCAAAUUUGCUCCCAAAGCCGUAGAAGGGUUUUUAUUAGGUUAUGAUUCAAAUACAAAGGCGUAUAGGGUCUUCAACAAAUCAUUGAGUUUGGUUGAAGUCUCUAGCGACGUUGUAUUUGAUGAGACUAAUGGCUCUCCAAGAGAGCAAGUUGUUGAUCUUGAUGAUGUAGAUGAAGAAGACGUUCCAACGGCCGCGAUGCGCACCAUGGCGAUUGGAGAUGUAUGGCCUCAGGAACAUUUGGAGCAAGAUCAACCGUCUUUCUCAACUAUGGUGCAUCCCCCAACUCAAGACGAUGAACAGGUUCAUCAACAGGAGGCGUGUGAUCAAGGGGGAGCACAAGAUGAUCAUGUGAUGGAGGAAGAAGCGCAACCGGCACCUCCAACCCAAGUUCGAGCGAUGAUUCAAAGGGAUCAUCCCGUCGAUCAAAUUCUGGGUGAUAUUAGCAAGGGAGUAACUACUCAAUCUCGAUUAGUUAAUUUUUGUGAGCAUUACUCCUUUGUCUCUUCUAUUGAGCCUUUCAGGGUAGAAGAGGCCUUGCUAGAUCCAGACUGGGUGUUGGCCAUGCAAGAGGAGCUCAACAACUUCAAGAGGAAUGAAGUUUGGACGCUGGUGCCUCGUCCUAAGCAAAAUGUUGUGGGAACCAAGUGGGUGUUCCGCAACAAACAGGACGAGCACGGGGUGGUGACGAGAAACAAGGCUCGACUUGUGGCAAAAGGUUAUGCCCAAGUCGCAGGUUUGGACUUUGAGGAGACUUUUGCUCCUGUGGCUAGGCUAGAGUCAAUUCGUAUUUUGCUAGCAUAUGCCGCUCACCAUUCUUUCAGGUUGUACCAAAUGGAUGUGAAGAGCGCUUUCCUCAACGGGCCGAUCAAGGAGGAGGUGUAUGUAGAGCAACCCCCUGGCUUCGAGGAUGAACGGUACCCCGACCACGUGUGUAAGCUCUCUAAGGCGCUCUAUGGACUUAAGCAAGCCCCAAGAGCAUGGUAUGAAUGCCUUAGAGACUUUUUAAUUGCUAAUGCUUUCAAGGUCGGGAAAGCCGAUCCAACUCUUUUUACUAAGACUUCCGAUGGUGAUCUUUUUGUGUGCCAAAUUUAUGUCGAUGACAUAAUAUUUGGUUCUACUAAUCAAAAGUCUUGUGAAGAGUUUAGCAGGGUGAUGACGCAGAAAUUCGAGAUGUCGAUGAUGGGCGAGUUGAACUACUUCCUUGGGUUCCAAGUGAAGCAACUCAAGGACGGCACCUUCAUCUCUCAAACGAAGUACACGCAAGACUUGCUGAAGCGGUUUGGGAUGAAGGACGCCAAGCCCACAAAAACUCCAAUGGGGACCGACGGACACACAGACCUCAACAAAGGAGGUAAGUCCAUUGAUCAAAAGGCAUACCGGUCAAUGAUAGGGUCUUUACUUUAUUUAUGUGCUAGUAGACCGGAUAUUAUGCUUAGCGUAUGCAUGUGUGCUAGAUUUCAAUCCGAUCCUAAGGAGUGUCACUUCGUGGCAGUGAAGCGAAUCCUUAGAUAUUUAGAUGCUACGCCUUGCUUCGGGCUCUGGUAUCCAAAGGGGUCUACCUUUGACUUGAUUGGAUAUUCAGAUUCCGACUAUGCUGGAUGUAAGGUCGAUAGGAAGAGUACAUCGGGGACGUGCCAAUUCUUAGGAAGGUCCCUGGUGUCAUGGAAUUCUAAGAAACAAACCUCUGUUGCCCUAUCCACCGCUGAGGCCGAGUAUGUUGCCACAGGACAGUGUUGCGCGCAACUACUUUGGAUGAGGCAAACCCUCAGGGACUUUGGCUACAAUCUGAGCAAAGUCCCACUCCUAUGUGAUAAUGAGAGUGCUAUCCGCAUGGCGGAAAAUCCUGUUGAACACAGCCGCACAAAGCACAUAGACAUCCGGCAUCACUUUUUGAGAGACCACCAGCAAAAGGGAGAUAUCGAAGUGUUUCAUGUUAGCACCGAGAACCAGCUAUCCGAUAUCUUUACCAAGCCUCUAGAUGAGAAGACCUUUUGCAGGCUGUGUAGUGAGCUCAAUAUCUUAGAUUCACGGAACUUGGAUUGAAAUGUAGCAUACAUGUGUUUAUGCCUUUGAUCAUGUUCAUUCUGCAUUUUGUUGCUUAUUGUGGUGCUCAAGUUGUACAAACACUCCCUGGACCUCACAAGUCCUUUUUGCAAGUGAUGCACAUAUUUAGGGGGAGCUGUGCUACAACUUGACCCUUUGAGACUAACCAUGUACUUGAGUUUGGUUGUUUUAGCCUCAAAGGAGGAUUGAAAGGGAAAAGGUGGACUUGGACCAUGCAAGACUUCCACUGCACUCCGAUAAAAAGAGUAACUUUUCCAAGUUCAUCUUUAUACUCUUAUUGCCUUUGUGUCCUCAUUUGAUGAUUUUGGUGAGGCAAUGGGGUUAAAGGGCCAAGAUUAAUCCCGUUUUGGUGCUUGAUGCCAAAGGGGGAGAAAAUAAAGGCCAAAGCAAUAAAUGGAUCAGCUACCACUUGAGAGAUUUUGAGAAUAGUAGAAUAGAGUCUUUGGUUUGUCAAAACUCGAGUUUUUUGGUUUGUCAAAACUCUUUUAUUGUCUCUCUUGUCAAAAGUUGGCUUCUUGUAGGGAGAAGUAUUGAUUAUGGGAAAAAGGGGGAGUUUUUGAAAUCUUGAAUCAAUUUCUAUUGGAAUGACUCUAUGUAUGUCUUAACAUGUGGUUUUGACUUAGAGAUAGGAAUUUGAGUUUGAUUUGCAAAAACAAACCAAGUGGUGGCAUAGAGUGAUCCAUAUAUGUCAAAUUUGAAUCAAAAUAAUUUGAGUUCUUAUUUGAAGUGAUUUUGUACUUGUUCUACUUGCAUUAUGUUGUGUUGGCAUAAAUCACCAAAAAGGGGGAAAUUGAAAGGGAAAUGUGCCCUUGGGCCAUUUCUAAGUAUUUUGGUGAUUUAGUGUCCAACACAAGUGCCUAAGUGUAAAAUGGUGGACAAAGUACAAAUCAAGGAUAAAGGUAUGUUUCUCAGACUUAGUACAUUGUUUUAUGGACUAAUCUAUUGUGUCUAAGUGCUGGAAACAGGAAAAAUCCAAUUGGAAUUGUCUUGGCUCGAGCAGCCAAGACUCUGCUCAGUCUGGGAGCACCGGACUGUCCGGUGGUGCACCGGACAGUGUCCGGUGCGCCAGGCUGGUUCGAGCGAAGUGGCCGCUCUCGGGAAUUCACCGGCGACGUACGGCUAUAAUUCACCGGACUGUCCGGUGUGCACCGGACUGUCCGGUGAGCCAACGGUCGGCCGCGCGAUCUGCGCGGGACACGUGGCCGAGCCAACGGCUAGAAGGGGGCACCGGACUGUCCGGUGUGCACCGGACAUGUCCGGUGCGCCAACGGCUCUCUGGCGGCCAACGGUCGGCUGCACUAGUUAAGGAAAGAAAUCGGGCACCAGACAGUGUCCGGUGUGCACCGGACUGUCCGGUGCGCCAGUCGACAGAAGGCAAGAUCAGCCUUCCUAGAUUGCUCUCAACGGCUCCUAGCUGCCUUGGGGCUAUAAAAGGGACCCCUAGGCGCAUGGAGGAGAACACCAAGCAUUCUUACAACAUUCCUAAGCACCAAGACAUCGAUUCCGCGCCUUUGAUUCUUUGCGAUAGCAAUUAGAGCUCUAGUUGAGUGGUGAACUCUUUGAGUUGUGUUGAGAGCUCUCCUUGUGACUUGUGUGUGUGGUGUUGCUGUGAUUUCUUGUCUUGAGUGCGUUGCUAAUCCCUCCCUUGCUCUGUGUUUCUUUGUGAUCUUAAAGUGUAAGGGCGAGAGGCUCCAAGUUGUGGAGAUUCCUCGCAAACGGGAUUGAGUAAAAGCAAGCAAAACACCGUGGUAUUCAAGUGGGUCUUUGGACCGCUUGAGAGGGGUUGAUUGCAACCCUCGUCCGUUGGGACGCCACAACGUGGAGUAGGCAAGCGUUGGUCUUGGCCGAACCACGGGAUAACCACCGUGCCAUCUCUGAGAUUGAUCUUGUUGGUUAUUGUGUUUUGUUGAAGAUUCCUCUCUUGCCACUUGGCGGUUAUUGUGCUAACACUUAACCAAGUUUUUGUGGCUUAAGUUUUCAAGAUUUACAGGAUCACCUAUUCACCCCCCCCCCCCUCUAGGUGCUCUCAGUAGGGAGAAGAGAACUCAUGCUUGAUUCCCUCCUCCUCAAGGAAGCCUUCGAUUUGAGAGUUCUUGAACUCCGUCCCGUUGUCGCUUCUAAUCUUUUUGAUCCUUAAGCCGAACUCAUUUUGAGCCCGUCUCAAGGAUCCCUUUAAGGUCUCUUGGGUAUGAGAUUUUUCCUGCAAAAAGAACACCCAAGUGAAGCGAGAAUAGUCAUCCACAAUAACUAGACAGUACUUACUCCCGCCGAUGCUUAUGUAAGCUAUCGGGUCGAAUAGAUCCAUGUGUAGGAGCUCGAGUGGCCUGUCAGUUGUCAUGAUGUUCUUGUGUGGAUGAUGAACACCAACUUGCUUCCCUGCCUGACAUGCGCUACAAAUCAUGUCUUUCUCAAAAUGAACAUUUGUUAGUCCCAAAAUGUGUUCUCCCUUUAGAAGCUUAUGAAGAUUCUUCAUUCCAACAUGUGCUAGUCGGUGGUGCCAGAGCCAGCCCAUGUUAGUCUUAGCAAUUAAGCAAGUGUCGAGUUCAGCUCUAUCAAAAUCUACUAAGUAUAGCUGACCCUCUAACACUCCCUUAAAUGCUAUUGAAUCAUCACUUCUUCUAAAGACAGUGACACCUACAUCCGUAAAAAGACAGUUGUAACCCAUUUUACAUAAUUGCGAAACUGAAAGCAAGUUAUAAUCUAAAGAAUCUACAAGAAAAACAUUGGAAAUGGAAUGGUCAGGUGAUAUAGCUAUUUUACCCAAUCCUUUGACCAAACCUUGAUUUCCAUCCCCGAAUGUGAUAGCUCGUUGGGGAUCUUGGUUUUUCUCAUAGAAGGAGAACAUCUUCUUCUCCCCUGUCAUAUGGUUUGUGCACCCGCUAUCGAUGAUCCAACUUAAGCCCCCGGAUGCAUAAACCUACAAAACAAGUUUAGUUCUUGAUUUUAGGUACCCAAACGGUUUUGGGUCCUUUGACAUUAGAUACAAGAACUUUGGGUACCCAAACACAAGUCUUGGAACCCUUGUGUUUGUCCCCAACAUAUUUGUCAACUACCUUGUCGAAUUUGUUAGUUAAAACAUAGGAUGCAUCAAAAGUUUUAAAUGAAAUAUUAUGAUCAUUUGAUGCAAUAGGAGUUUUCUUUCUAGGCAAUUUAGCAUGGGUUGAUUGCCUAGAGCUAGAUGUCUCACCCUUAUACAUAAAAGCAUGAUUAGGGCCAGAGUGAGACUUCCUAGAGUGAAUUCUCCUAAUUUUGCUCUCGGGAUAACCGGCAGGAUACAAAAUGUAACCCUCGUUAUCCUGAGGCAUGGGAGCCUUUCCCUUUACAAAGUUAGACAAUCUUUUAGGAGGGGCAUUAAGUUUGACAUUGUCCCCCUUUUGGAAGCCUAUGUCAUCCUUGAUGCCAGGGCGUCUCCCACUAUAGAGCAUGCUUCUAGCAAAUUUAAAUUUUUCAUUUUCUAAGUUAUGCUCAUUAAUUUUAGCAUUAAGUUGAGCUAUGUGAUCAUUUUGUUUCUUAAUUAAGGCUAGGUGAUCAUGAAUAGCAUCAACAUUAAUGUCUCUACAUCUAGUACAAAUGGAAACAUGCUCAAUGGUAGAUGUAGAGGGUUUGCAAGAAUUAAGUUCAACAAUCUUAGCACGUAAAAUAUCAUUCUUGUCUCUAAGAUCGGAAAUGGAAGCAUUGCAAACAUCUAAAUCCUUAGCCUUAGCAAUCAAAUUUUCAUUUUCAUUUCUAAGGCUAGCAAGAGCAACAUUCAAUUCAUCAAUCUUAGCAAGUAAGUCGACAUUAUCAUCUCUCAGAUUAGGAAUUGAAGUAUCACAAACAUUAGAAUCAACCUUAGCAAUUAAUUUAGCAUUUUCAUUUCUAAGGUUGGCAAUAGUGUCAUGGCAAGUGCUUAGGUCACUAGAUAGUUUUUCACAUUUUUCUACUUCUAGAGCGUAAGCAUUUUUAACCUUAACAUGCUUCUUAUUUUCCUUAAUUAGGAAGUCCUCUUGGGUGUCCAAGAGUUCAUCCUUCUCAUGAAUAGCACUAAUUAAUUUAUUUAGUUUUUCUUUUUGUUGCAUGCUAAGGUUGGCAAAAAGGAUGUGCAAGUUAUCCUCCUCAUCACUAUCAUUAUCCUCAUCACUAGAGGUUUCAUAUUUAGUGGAGGAUCUUGAUUUUACCUUCUUCCUUUUGCCGUCCUUUGCCAUGAGGCACUUGUGGCCGAUGUUGGGGAAGAGGAGUCCCUUGGUGACGGCGAUGUUGGCAGCGUCCUCGUCGGAGGAGGAGUCGGAGGAGCUCUCCUUGGAGUCCCACUCGCGGCACACAUGGGCAUCGCCGCCCCUCUUCUUGUGGUACCUCUUCUUUUCCCUCCUCUUGCCCUUCUUGUUGUCGCCCCUGUCACUAUCACUAGAUAACGGACAUUUAGCAAUGAAAUGACCGGGCUUACCACAUUUGUAGCACACUUUCCUGGGGCAGGGCUUGUAAUCCUUCCCCCUCCGUUGCUUGAGGAUUUGGCGGAAGCUCUUGAUGAUGAGCGCCAUUUCCUCGUUGUCGAGCUUAGAUGCAUUGAUGGGUUGUCUACUUGAUGUAGACUCCUCCUUGUUCUCCUCUGUCGCCUUGAAUGCGACCGGUUGUGCUUCGGACGUGGAGGGGCCAUCUAGCUCGAUGAUUUUCUUUGAGCCUUUGAUCAUCAACUCAAAGCUCACAAAAUUUCCUAUUACUUCCUCGGGAGACAUUAGUGUAUAUCUAGGAUUUCCUCGAAUUAAUUGAACUUGCGUAGGGUUAAGAAAAAUGAGGGAUCUUAGAAUAACCUUGACCAUCUCAUGGUCAUCCCAUUUUGUGCUUCCGAGGUUGCGCACUUGGUUCACCAAGGUCUUCAAGCGGUUGUACAUGGCUUGAGGGUCCUCGCCUUGGUUGAGUCAGAACCGACCGAGCUCCCCCUCGAUCGUUUCCCGCUUGGUGAUUUUGGUCACCUCAUCUCCUUCGUGCGCGGUCUUGAGUACAUCCCAAAUUUCCUUGGCGCUCUUUAAUCCUUGCACCUUGUUAUACUCCUCUCGACUUAGAGAGGUGAGGAGUAUAGUGGUGGCUUGGGAGUUAAAGUGUCGGAUUUGGGCGACCUCGUCCGAAUCAUAAUCUUCAUCCCCGGUGAAGGUACAUGUACUCCAAUCUCAACAACAUCCCAAAUGCUAGUGUGGAGUGAGUUAGAUGAUGCCUCAUUUUAUCACUCCACAUAUUAUAAUCUUCACCAUCAAACAUAGGUGGUUUGCCUAAUGGGACGGAAAGUAAUGGAGUACGUUUGGAAAUGCGAGGGUAGCGUAGGGGAAUCUUACUAAACUUCUUGCGCUCAUGGCGCUUAGAAGUUACGGACGGCGUGUCGGAGCCAGAGGUGGAUGGCGAUGAAGAGUCGGUCUCGUAGUAGACCACCUUCCUCAUCUUCUUCUUCUUGUCACCGCUCCGACCCGACUUGUUGUGUGAAGGGGAUCCCUUCACCUUGUUGGCGGACUCCCCGGAUGGAGCCUUCCCAUGGCUUGUAGCGGGCUUCUCGCCGGUCAUCAUCUCCUUCUUGGCGUGAUCUCCCGACAUCACUUCGAGCGGUUAAGCUCUAAUGAAGCACCGGGCUUUGAUACCAAUUGAAAAUCGCCUAGAGGGGGUGAAUAGGGCGAAUCUGAAAUUUAUGAACUUAAGCACAACUACAAGUCGGGUUAGCGUUAGAAAUAUAAACAAGUCCGAGAGAGAGAGAGCGCAAAACAAAUUGUGAUCAAAUAAAGAGCGAGACACGAUGAUUUGUUUUUCCGAGGUUCGGUUCUUGCAAACCUACUCCCCGUUGAGGUGGUCAUGAAGACCGGGUCUCUUUCAACCCUUUCCCUCUCUCAAACGGUCACCUAGACCGAGUGAGCUUCUCUUCUCAAUCAAACGGAACACGAAGUUCCCGCAAGGACCACCACACAAUUGGUGUCUCUUGCCUUGGUUACAAUUGAGUUUGAUCACAAGAAGAAUGAGAAAGAAAAGAAGCAAUCCAAGCGCAAGAGCUCAAAUGAACACAACAAAUCUCUCUCUCUAAUCACUAAAGCUUUGUGUGGAGUUGGGAGAAGAUUUGAUCUCUUUGGUGUGUCUUGAAUUCAAUGCUAUAGCUCUUGUAAGGUGUAGAAGUGUAGAAACUUGGAUGCCAUUGAAUGUGGGGUGGUUGGGGUAUUUAUAGCCCCAACCACCAAAAAUGGCCGAUGGAAGUGUGCUGUCGCAUGGCGCACCGGACAGCCGUUGGGGUUCGACCGUUGGAGUUCUGACUUGUGGGGCCUCUGGGCUGUCCGGUGGUGCACCGGACAAGUCCUGUAGACUGUCCGGUGCGCCAACUGCGCGUGCUCUGACUCUGGCGCGCACUGUAGCGCAAUUAAUGCGGUUGCAGACGACCGUUGCGUGCGAAGUAGCCGUUGCUCCGCUGGCACAUCGGACAGUCCGGUGUGGCAUCGGACACUGUCCGGUGCUUCACUGGAUAGUCUGGUGAAUUAUAGCGGAGCGCCCUCUGAUUUUCCCGAAGGUAGCGAGUUCAGCGUCGAGUGCCCUGGUGCACCGGACACUGUCCGGUGGUGCACCGGACACGGUACGGUGGCACACCGGUCGGUCUGGUGCGCCAGACCAGGGUGCCUUGGGUUGUCUUUUGCUCUCUUUGUUUGAACCCUUUCUUGGUAUUUUAUUGGCUUAAUGUGAACCUUUGGCACCUGUAAAACUUAUAGACUAGAGCAAACUAGUUAGUCCAAUUAUUUGUGUUGGGCAAUUCAACCACCAAAAUCAAUUAGGAAAUAGGUGUAACCCUAAUUCCCUUUCACUUAUAUUACCUUGAAUGCCCAACGGUGCAGUGUCCAUGAUUUCAAGUUCCUGAAUGACAGCUCCACUUAUGAUUGGUUUUAACCUAAUAGCCUUGGACUGUAUGGAAUGGAACAAGUCAGUUUUGGGUCUAUACAAAAGAUCAUGCAAUAUUUACCUGUUCUCUAAUGUUUUUUUUGAACCAUAUUGUGAAUUGACGAGGAAAAAAAUAAAAAAACAUGCAACCAAAUUUGUUAUGAUCAAGGUGUUCUUCAUUUAAACAUAGCAGUGCAAUUGUAUAUUGGGUAUAUAUAUGUUCCAGUUUGUGGCGGAACUGCCCGAAUUAUUCCAACUUAAGUGCCUAAGCCCCGCCGUAGAGGCUAGACCACACUUAAAUGGGAAUAACCCGUCAAUCCCUCGGAUCUAGUCCGACACGGCCACUGACAGGAUCAAGUACCACAAUCUCACUCGAAGGUGAGUCACAGAGCAAAUACAAUAAAGCAUAAAACCAUACAUGUCACCAUGUUAAAUUAUUACAUCACCAUCAUCAUCAUCAUCGGAGUUUUUGCAAAGGUAACCAUCGUUGUUCGACAUGCAGCGGAAUAAAACUAACGGUAAUUAAACCGAGAGAUGGGGAAGCCUGUCCCAUCACUCCUCAUGCUCCUCCUCAGCCGAGGCAGGGUCCCACUCGACAGUCCAACCCGGUGGCAAGGUGGACGACCAAGUUAUCCCAGCAACCAUCUCCUCCAGAGAACCUGUAAAAAUUAUGCCACAAGCAAGGCUGAGUAUACUAAUACUCAGCUAGACUUACCCGGUGUGAGGAGUCUACUCCUCUACCUCUAGACAUGCAGCUUGUUUGGCUGUGGGGUUUGGUUGCCAAAAGCACUAGCUGAGUUUCUAAAUCAAGAUUUUAACUUAGUCAAAGUUAAGUGUGACUCUCUUAAGGCUAAAAAUGUACUAUCUAUUCAUACAAAGUAGCAGACAUUUUAGCAAUCAACAUCUUAUAUCAUUUCCGCAUCAUUCCACUUGUUACUCAAUGUAGCAGCAUGGAUCAAGCAGUCUCAUUAGCUGCGAGAAGCAGACGAUUCGAAUCGAGUUUUUAUCCUUGCAAGGUAAACCUAAACACACGACAUGCAGGGGCACUCCGUCCCCACACAUAUCAACCGUCCCCAUCGAUUCCCUGGCAACAGAACAGGGCUCACCGCCUUGGCGUACAAUGCCCCACUGACCCCGACUGGCCGUUGUGCAGUGGCCGCACUUGUACCCACCAUAACCGGAAUGGGAGACCUCGUCUCAGGUCGCGUGAGGGGUAAAGUCUGCGGGCAGGUUCACUCAGGUACUAGGCUUACCGAUUUACCAUAUUUCUCGGUAUGUGUUUAGUACAUUCAAACGCUUGACUCACGGUACCACACCUUAAUCCUUAUUCACAUUUUAUCCCGUGGACAACCAAUCCCCAUGGAUCAUUGUCCACAAACCAGCAUUAGUAUAAUAUGAAAGUGGGUACAAUCAAUGUCCUGACCUCGCGCGAGUGCUAGAAAAAUCACUCGACUUCUACCGAGAUCCUACUUUAUGAAGCAGCUACUCGUCUUAGCAUACUAGUAUUCAGCUCAAUAGGAUUCCUGAGAUCAUGCAACUAGGGUUUCAAGAAAUUCCUACACUUAAGUGCACAAUCAAUCCUACAAUCAUUAAGUGGAGUAAAAUAGCAUAAAUAACAGGUUAUGCAUAAAACCGGGGCUUGCCUUCCAAAGCAGUGGCAGGCAGGUCCUCUGGUGCUGGCUCUGGUGCUGGAUCUGGGGCUACCUCCUGAGCAGCUCCUUGCUCCGGCACGAGGAUGUACUCUCCGUCAGCAAGAUUACAGUCUAUCGAAAUGCAAUGAACAUGUAUGUCAUGAUUAUGCAUGAUUUAAGAACAUUAAGUUUAAAGAAACUAAGUUAAGAAUUAACUUAGGGUUUUCUCAGUUAUGCGGGGCUUCUAGUGGUACAUAGAUAGACUUAUUACUCUUUGGACUUAGAUUUUCAUUUAGGACAACAUAUUGGUUUGGUAUUGCUUUGAUAUAUUUUUGUGGACAGCAAAUAAAGUUUUUAGGGACAACCUUUAUCCAUAUCUUUUAUUUCUCUUCCCUUAAUUUCCAUUUAGGUUUUCUAGGGUAGGUUUGAACUACAACAGGGUUUUAAUAAUUUCCAAAAAUUCUGUAAAAAUUACAGUGGGUUGUCACUGGCUAUUUUAGCUUGUUUUAAGAAUUUGAGGCUUAAGGUAUAAAAGUUAGGCCUUAAACAAAAAUAACAAAAGUUAGGCAAAAAGGGGCACUUUACACUACACCUCCUAGUUAGGGGUAGGCUCUGCCCUAAAGGUUAUUUUUGUUGGCAUCCUCUGGUAAUAAUAGGUCUUUGUGCUAAAAAUCACAGGAAACUAAGGGGUGGUUAAUUAGCUGUGAUUUUCUCAAGUUUAAUGUCAAUAAGGCACUUUCUACUACAUUAUUAUUUGAAAAAUGUCAAACAGCAGAUUUCUUAUUUUUCCUAAGUUCUUUCUGAUAAAUCAAUAGUUAUCCCAAGGGUGGGGGUGUUUUUUUACCUUGGGGCCAUUUUUGUAGGGCUUUUCAAAGUUAUCCUUGUUUUAUUAAAAUAAAAGAUAUCUUCCUUAAUUUGCACUAAUCCAGGGUAUGAUAUAUUUUUCCAGUGAACUAUAUUGAAUAAGUAACCUAACAAAAAUAGAAGUACUCUCUGGUUCAUUAAUUAAGUUGCAUUUUCUAUUUUCCUUAUCUUUAAGCAUAUUAGAGAAUAAAGGGUAAAACUAACUUAAAUGUAAUGGACAGAGGGGUUUAACAUUUUUAAACAGGUUAGUAGGUGAAUAUAAACUUCUCCAAAUUUUCCCAACCCUAGUCAAAUAGCCCAACUAUUUUUCUUACUAUUAUUUAGCUUUUGGCCAAAGUUAACAUUAAAUCAGAACUUUUAAGUUUUCCACAGCACCAAGGGGUUUUACAUUUUUCCUAAAUAGGGUACAUUAUUUAGAGUCUGGCAAAAUUAGUUUGACCAAAUUUGGAUAAACCAAUAAGAAGUUAGGGGUUUUUUAAAGUUUCUGUUUGAAUUUAAAUCAGGUUUUAAUUAAGUUUUCCUGGAAAUACAGUUUGCGCCGAGGUCCCUGGGUUUAAAACAAUUCAAACCUCGCAGAUCUACCCUUAAGGCACUAUUCACUUGAGUCUCUGACCUUUCACUUAACCCCCUGGGUUUCUCUCCCUCUCACCCGCAGUCCCUCCCUCAAUUGAAACAGUAGCCGCGGAAAAAGAAAGGGUGGCGCGGCUUACCGGCGGCGAGGGAGUUCCGGCGAAGGGUGGGGUCGGCUCGGGGAGGGUCUGGCGAUCACGUCGAGGUACGGCUCGUCGUCGGGAACGGCCGGAAUCGCCCGGUCCACGUGAGCAGGCGGGCGAGCUCGUCGGCGGCGUGUGCUCUGGCCUAUCCACGGCGGCAUAGUUCAAUCCAAGGGCAUAGGGAGCUUCGCGGGGGUCUAAGGAGUCUAACCGUGCAAUGAAUCGAAGAGAGGUGCACGGUGUACCUCGGUCCACGGUUGCCGGCGGUCGGUUGAAGUCCGGUGACCUUGGGUCGGCCUCUCCGGUGAAGUAAAGCCCGAUUCCUCGCUCGGGGAGCUUCACGGAGACGUGUACAGUCUUCUCCGAGGGCUGGACGGGGUUGGGAAAGGCUGGGCUGGCCGGUCGACGGUGGCAGGGGCCCGGGUGGCCGCGGGCACGUCGCGUAUGGGCAAACGGCGGCGAACUGAGCUCCGGUGAGGCUUGAGCGCGUGCGGAGGGGUACGGCCAAGGCUCCUGGGCGUUUUAUAGCCGCGGACGCGGACCAGGGCACCGGCUUGGCUCGGGCGCGGCGCGGGGCGCGCUCGGGCGUGCUCUGGCGCGGCAGACGGCGUCGAACACGUGGCGGUUUGUUUCUUCCAGUGUUCAAAUGUCGCCAGAGGUCGCAACCGUGCGAAUCUUUGCAAAGGUCCGGCGCAGACCUCUUCCUGGCACCUAGGGCUGACACUCAACUGUGAGACGCCGGGGCAGAUACGGCCUAGGGAGGGAGAUCUUCGGGUGCCAAAUCAGGUGUGUCACACUGAGCACUUCGCGACAAAAGCCAUGCCAUGGCAUGUCAAACGUCCGAGUCUCGAGCUCAACUUUUUCCAGUGGGUGCCCUAAGUGGUAUUGCACAUUUUUGGUAUAGAGCCCAAGUGGUUUUGGCGCCAUUUUUGAAGUGAACACGGUUGAUCUUUGAUUUAGGGCUAAAAUGGGACUUAGAGGGAAUUAGAGAGCUCUAGCUCUCUCUCCACUUGGAGAAUUGAAAUGGGGUUUCCCUAGGGGCCUUUUUGUAAUAUUUCCCUCCCCUAAAUAAUGGUUAUAAUGUUGCUUAGGGUUUGGGUAAAGAUUACCCAUGCUUUGCACAUUUGCUCACUCUCUUUCCCCUCUUAUCCAUGGUUUGGGAGUUAGGGUUUAAGAGAGGCCUAGGGUUCUUUCCCCCUCUCCCAAGGUGAUAAUUGCACACAAUUAGAGUAAUGCCCUUGGUCAUUCCCAACUCUGGGUAACAACUUAGUUUCCAAAGCCCCUUAUACUUUUGCUCCUUAAGUUCUUCCACAUGUGAUCAUAGUCUUGAGUGCCAAGGUGUGCUCCAGCCAUAGCAACACAUGGGGUGUUACAGCCCUCCCCCCUUAAAGGAAUCUCGUCCCGAGAUUUUAGGUAGAGUCCCUUGGAGGGUGCUGGAAGGUGUGUUGGUGCUAUUCUUUCUUUAUACUCAAGUUUCUCUUGUUAACUGCUCUUCGAAUGUCAUUCUCUUUGCAACUUCAGAAGGAAGCCCUUCUUAAGUUAAAUCCACAACUUAGACUAUCCUAGCUAUCUAAGUUUUUCUUAUAAUUGGAUUCAAAGGGCAGGUGGGGGUGGGGUUCUGGGGUUACAUACCGACUCCUUUGGGUAGAAAGUCGGGGAAGCGAGAGCGUAGAAAAUCCUCAGUCUCCCAUGUAGCUUCUUCUGCUGAAUGGUGACUCCACUGAACCUUAUACAUUCUGACCGACCUUGCCCGAGUUGAUCUCUCCUUUUGAUCUAACACCUUGACGGGGUACUCUUGGUAGGACAAGUCUGGUUCUAUCUCAAUAUCUGGUUCUGGUAGUACUUCAAUGGGUAGACGAACACAUUUCCGCAGCUGAGAUACAUGGAACACAUUGCGAACGGUCGACAUGUGAGGUGGCAAUUCCACUUGAUAGGCUACGGGUCCACAAACCUCCUAGAUCUUGUAGGGUCCAAUAUAGCGAGGAGCUAACUUGCCCUUGAUCCCGAAUCUCUGAACACCCUUGGUGGGGGAUACCUUAAGAUAAACAUGAUCUCCCACCUCAAAUUGUAGGGGCUUCCGCCUCUUGUCAUGAUAGCUCUUUUGCCUGGCCUGAGCAGCUUCCAAGUUCUUAGCAAUAACUCUGACUUUUGCCUCUGCCUCGAGUACCAAGUCUGGUCCAAAAAUUUCCCUUUCUCCUGCUUGAGACCAAUUGAGUGGGGUCCUACACCUUCUCCCAUACAAUGCCUCAAAAGGUGCCAUCUUCAGACUGGACUGGUAGCUAUUAUUAUAAGAAAACUCUGCCAAAGACAGACACUUGUCCCAAUCCUUUCCAUAAUGUAGUGUACAUGCUCGCAACAUGUCUUCCAAUAUUUGAUUCACUCUUUCUGUUUGACCAUCCGUUUGAGGGUGGUAUGCUGAGCUUCGGAUUACUUGGGUUCCAAGUGACUCCUGCAGUUGCUCCCAAAAUCGUGCCACAAAUGGUGCUCCCCUGUCAGAUAUAAUGGUCUUGGGAAUACCAUGCAACCUUACUAUCUGAUCAAUAUAAAUCUCAGCGUACUUCUCUGCCCUGUGGGUGGUAUGCACUGGUAAGAAAUGAGCAGUCUUGGUCAGCCUGUCCACGAUAACCCAAAUAGAAUCAUGAUGUCUGGAGGUAUUGGGUAAUCCCACUAUAAAGUCCAUGCAAAUAUCCUCCCAUUUCCAAGAUGGUAUGGGAAGGGGUUGUAAAGGGCCUGCUGCCUUCAAGUGACUAGCCUUUAUCCUCUGGCAAGUAUCACAUUCAGAGAUGUACUUGGCAAUUUCUCUUUUCAUUCUAGUCCACCAAUAUAAAGAUCUGAGGUCAUGGUACAUCUUGGUGCUACCAGGGUGCAUAGAGAAUUUGGAAAGGUGAGCUUCAUCUAGUAUCUUCUUUCUGAGCUCAAGGUCCUUAGGAACAACCAAUCGAUCUCCAAACCAUAGAAUUCCCUUGCUGUCCUGUCGGAAACACUUGUAUUUCUCUGCCUUUUGCUUGAUCAUAUCCUUGAUAACCUGAACACCCUUAUCCUCAAUCUGUGCCCUGACUAUCUGUUCUUGCAAUGUGGGCUCCACCGAGAUAUAGCUUAGGUUACCCGAAGAAACAACUUCCAAGUUCAAUCUGCACAACUCAUCACACAGGGUGGUCACUCCUACAUCCAUGCUCAUACAAUUGCACUGGGCCUUUCUGCUCAAGGCAUCUGCCACAACAUUGGCCUUUCCUGGGUGGUAAUGUACCUCUAAAUCAUAGUCCUUGAUUAACUCCAACCAUCUCCUUUGCCUCAUGUUCAGAUCUGCCUGAGUGAAGAUGUAUUUGAGACUCUUGUGAUCAGUAUAGAUGUUACAGUGAGCUCCCAUCAAGUAGUGUCUCCAUAUCUUAAGAGCAUGAACUACAGCUGCCAAUUCUAGAUCAUGUGUAGGGUAGUUCUGCUCAUGGGGCCUGAGUGCUCGGGAAGCAUAAGCAAUCACUCUGUUCUCUUGCAUCAAGACACAUCCCAAUCCGGUACCAGAAGCAUCACAGUAAACUUCAAAUGGCUUGGUGUUGUCAGGUUGAGCCAGCACUGGGGCUGUGGUCAAAUGCUGCCUCAAGGUAUGAAAGGCAUCCUCACACUUUUGGCUCCACUCAAAUUUGACUCCCUUUUUUAACAGUUCGGUCAUUGGCUUGGCAAUUCUGGAGAAAUCCGGAAUAAAUCGUCGAUAAUACCCUGCCAAUCCCAGAAAACUCCGAAUCUGCUUCACUGUAGUCGGGGGUUUCCAAUCCAUCACCUCCUGCACCUUCUCAGGAUCAACAGAUAUCCCAUCUUGAGAAAUUGUGUGACCCAAGAAUUUGAUUUCCUUCAGCCAGAACUCACACUUACUCAGCUUAGCAUACAACUGAUGAUCACGCAGUCUCUGAAGUACAGUAUGCAAGUGUUUGGUGUGCUCGGCUUCGUUCUUGGAAUAAAUCAGGAUAUCAUCAAUGAAAACGACCACAAACUUGUCCAAUUCUGGCAUAAACACUGAGUUCAUCAGGUACAUGAAAUAUGCCGGGGCAUUGGUCAGCCCAAAAGACAUCACCAGAAACUCAUACAAUCCAUAUCUGGUAGAGAAAGUCGUCUUGGGAAUAUCGCUGGCACGGAUCUUGAUCUGAUGGUAUCCCGAGCGAAGGUCUAUCUUGGAGAAUACCUUGGCUCCUACCAACUGAUCAAACAGAACAUCAAUGCGAGGCAAUGGGUAUUUGUUCUUAAUGGUUACCGCAUUGAGAGGACGGUAGUCAACACACAUCCUCAAACUCUCAUCCUUUUUCUUCACGAAUAAUGCUGGACAUCCCCAUGGUGAAGUGCUUGGACGAAUAAACCCCUUGUCCAACAACUCUUGCAAUUGCUUCUUCAAUUCUGCCAAUUCCGCGGGAGGCAUCCUAUAGGGUCUCUUGGAGAUAGGAGCAGUCCCGGGUUGCAAUUCGAUGGCGAACUCAAUAUCUCGGUCAGGUGGCAUUCCUGGCAAUUCAUCUGGGAAAACAUCUGGGUAGUCACAGACCACUGGGAUCUUUUCCACUGGGGAAUCUAUCAUAACGAAAGCACAAGAACGGGUGCAUCCCUGAUCGGGCAAAUAUAAUGUCGUUUCACCACAGGUUGGUGAGUGCACCUCAAUGGCCCUGGCUGCAAUAUCAAUAACUGAUCGAUGCCUGGUUAACCAGUCAGUUCCCAAUAUAAUAUCCACACUAUCCAACCCCAAAAUGAGGAGGGUGGUUUUAAUUAUUAGACUACCAAACUUUAUGGGCACGUGCCUGUUAAUUUGAUAGGUGGCAACCCUGCCUCCUGGUGUUGAAAUUGUAAUGCCCCCAUCGGUGUGGUGAAAGGGCAACUGGCAUUUGGCACUAAACUUGGCACUGAUAAAACUAUGUGAUGCACCAGAAUCAAAUAGAAUAAUAGCAGGAUAAUUCAAAACUGUAAAGAUACCAGUCAUGACGGGUGCUCCCUCUGGAAUAUCAGCCAUGGUGGUGAAGUUUAGCCUGCCUUGCCUCACUUGCACCUUCUGUCUCUUGCCUUGGUUCUGGUUGACAUUCUGCCCCUGCCUCUGCUGGUUCCUGGGGCAAUUCUUGGCAUAAUGCCCAGUGUUGCCGCAAGUGAAACAUCUGUUGUCAUUGGCCUGGCGGUACUGCUGCUGCUGAUUAUUCCGCUGUGCUGGAAACUGGUUGCGGUUGGGUGCCUGCUGCUGCUGCUGCUGAGGUCGGAUUACCCAUCGCCCUUGCUGCUGCUGGGGUCCCCUGCCCUGGGUGUCGGAUACAAUCCUGAAGCGCUGUGGCUGAGCUGAGGGUCCUGCCACAGGGGUCUUCCUUUUCUUCUCUGCCUGCCUAGCUGUAAUGCAGUCCUCUUGGGAGAUAGCCAUGUUUACCAACUCAUUGUAGCUGUUGGCCCUGACGGUGUUGAGACGAUCCCGGAGCUUAGUGCUGAGCCCCCUUCUGAAUCUGUCCCUCUUCUUCUCAUCUGAAUCCGCAUGAUAUCCCGCAUACUGGCACAAGUCAUUAAAGGCCUGGGCAUACUGCAACACUGUCCUGUUGCCCUGAGUGAGUGCCAAGAACUCAUUGAGUUUCCGGUCCAUGAUCCCGGCUGGUAUAUGGUGUCCUCUGAAAGCUGCCUUAAACUCCCUCCACUCCACCUCUCGGUCCUCUGGCUGCAUAGCAAGAAAGUGAUCCCACCAAGUCCUUGCAGGUCCGCGAAGCUGUUGGGUGGCAAACCUGACCUUGGUGACCUCUGAACACACUCCAUGAAGCAGUGGGAAUUUGGAUUCCACCACCCUCAACCACACAUCUGCAUCAAGUGGGUCCUCCGCCCUGGUAAACAAUGGUGGCUGAGUGCUGAGGAACUCCUGGUAGGUAGCAGCGACGGGGUGACGCUGAUGGUCUCCACCAUAAUGCUGAGGUAGUGGCUGACGCUGGGCCAGCUGCCUCAGGAUCUCAUUCUGCUGAGCCAUGAGCUCCUGCAGAGUGGGAGGUGGGGGUGGUGGUGGAACGUGCUCGUUCUGGCCACGACGCUGCCUCCCAGCCAUCUGAAAAACCACAUACAUAUUUAACACCACAGUUCCAAAUUCAAGAUUUUAUCACGGGGAAAAAGUUAAACAGCGGGAUUUUAAGAGGCAUAAAUUUCUUCCUUCCAAGAUUAAGCUAAUAAUAGCAUCCAUCCAUCAAGCUCCCCAAAAGAGUUUAAUACGAUUACAUCAAAUUGUUCCAAAAUGACUCAACUCUUCCUAGCCUAGUACCCUAAGGGUGCAAAAGCUAAGCUAGCGGCGAGGAGUCCGACUAUCCAACUUCUAAACCUACCCUGGACAUCUAGUGAGCGAACGAAGCAACGCUCGACUCGGGGGAAGGUGGUCUUCCCGAGCCAGCAGUAUCUAUACUGGAAGCAGACUCGUCUCCACCCUCGAUGUCAACGUCCUCGUCAGCCUCCCCACCAUGGAUCUCUUGGUGAUGCAUGUCUAGGUGCUCAUUUGCUUCUGCCAGCUGCUGCUGAGUGUUGAGGAGCUGAUCCUCUAGGACCUCAAUGGUGUUCUCCCGGGUGCCCACUAGCUCCUCCAACUCAUGAAUCUCACCAGACAGCUGCUCCACUUGCAAAUCCUUCUCUACCAUUUCUUGAGACAAGUCGACCACAAGCUCCUCUCGGUUAUCCAACGUGAUCUUGGUGGCCUCCAGCAGUGCCAUCAGAUGGGACAUGGCCUCACCGCGCAUCACCUGCAGACGGUACAGAGCAUUCAUGCACCGUACUGUCAAGUGCGCAGUCUGUCCUGGGUAGAUGGCCCAGAUAUCCUUAGCAUGCUCCACCUGAUCCUUCCACAUUGGGUCGUCCUCCUUCUCAGCGGGGAACAAGCCAAUGGGGUGGGUAGCCAGCUCUAAGGGAUGAAAUCCGCAGAAAGUAGUCAACCCGUGCAGCGCGAUCGCCCCGAUCGUGUCCUCUGCCCGGUACCCGAAAGACUCUGAGUCCAAGGAGCGCCAGCCUGGCUGCAGGGGAUGAGGCUCCAGAGUCAUCCUCACCCUACAGCGGGGCACUCGGUGCUUCUCGAACUGCUGCACCGCGUACUGAGGGGGUGUCGCGUAUCCAGCCCCCUGAAGCACCUCCCACAAAAUGCGGGGAAAGCCCUCUCGUGCAAGUCCGUCGGUGUGGGUCAGUGCAUUUCCGUCAUCGGAGGAUCCGUGGGAAGUCAUCUGUGUACGGUUAAGCGUAAGUAAAAGAAAAGAACUAUAAAAAGAACAAACAAAAAAAUAAAACUCAGCCUUUCUCUAGUUAAGUAAAAAGGCACUAGGGACCUAGUUGGUUGUUAUCUUGUUUUUAAGUCUUUUACUCAGUUAUCCAUUUGCUUAAUUAUGAAUGCAUGCAUGCUCGUCCUGAACGGCCUCACAACAAGAUAGAAGGAAUAGGGAGAAACUCCCAUCCUGUAAAAGUGGCCUGUAGGGCCUAGUUACUUAGCCACCUAGCUACCCUUCUAUUAACCUAAGGCUUCACGUCCUAGGUCUAUCCUGCUCGUCCUACUAUCUAUCCAACUUGUUUCUAUCAAGUUUUAUUUAGAAAAUUGAUGGUAUUUACAUUUUAUUGAUUCCUCUGUGGUGGUACAAGCUCCGAUACCAGCUGUGGCGGAACUGCCCGAAUUAUUCCAACUUAAGUGCCUAAGCCCCGCCGUAGAGGCUAGACCACACUUAAAUGGGAAUAACCCGUCAAUCCCUCGGAUCUAGUCCGACACGGCCACUGACAGGAUCAAGUACCACAAUCUCACUCGAAGGUGAGUCACAGAGCAAAUACAAUAAAGCAUAAAACCAUACAUGUCACCAUGUUAAAUUAUUACAUCACCAUCAUCAUCAUCAUCGGAGUUUUUGCAAAGGUAACCAUCGUUGUUCGACAUGCAGCGGAAUAAAACUAACGGUAAUUAAACCGAGAGAUGGGGAAGCCUGUCCCAUCACUCCUCAUGCUCCUCCUCAGCCGAGGCAGGGUCCCACUCGACAGUCCAACCCGGUGGCAAGGUGGACGGCCAAGUUAUCCCAGCAACCAUCUCCUCCAGAGAACCUCUAGGACCUCAAGGCUGAGUAUACUAAUACUCAGCUAGACUUACCCGGUGUGAGGAGUCUACUCCUCUACCUCUAGACAUGCAGCUUGUUUGGCUGUGGGGUUUGGUUGCCAAAAGCACUAGCUGAGUUUCUAAAUCAAGAUUUUAACUUAGUCAAAGUUAAGUGUGACUCUCUUAAGGCUAAAAAUGUACUAUCUAUUCAUACAAAGUAGCAGACAUUUUAGCAAUCAACAUCUUAUAUCAUUUCCGCAUCAUUCCACUUGUUACUCAAUGUAGCAGCAUGGAUCAAGCAGUCUCAUUAGCUGCGAGAAGCAGACGAUUCGAAUCGAGUUUUUAUCCUUGCAAGGUAAACCUAAACACACGACAUGCAGGGGCACUCCGUCCCCACACAUAUCAACCGUCCCCAUCGAUUCCCUGGCAACAGAACAAGGCUCACCGCCUUGGCGUACAAUGCCCCACUGACCCCGACUGGCCGUCGUGCAGUGGCCGCACUUGUACCCACCAUAACCGGAAUGGGAGACCUCGUCUCAGGUCGCGUGAGGGGUAAAGUCUGCGGGCAGGUUCACUCAGGUACUAGGCUUACCGAUUUACCAUAUUUCUCGGUAUGUGUUUAGUACAUUCAAACGCUUGACUCACGGUACCACACCUUAAUCCUUAUUCACAUUUUAUCCCGUGGACAACCAAUCCCCAUGGAUCAUUGUCCACAAACCAGCAUUAGUAUAAUAUGAAAGUGGGUACAAUCAAUGUCCUGACCUCGCGCGAGUGCUAGAAAAAUCACUCGACUUCUACCGAGAUCCUACUUUAUGAAGCAGCUACUCGUCUUAGCAUACUAGUAUUCAGCUCAAUAGGAUUCCUGAGAUCAUGCAACUAGGGUUUCAAGAAAUUCCUACACUUAAGUGCACAAUCAAUCCUACAAUCAUUAAGUGGAGUAAAAUAGCAUAAAUAACAGGUUAUGCAUAAAACCGGGGCUUGCCUUCCAAAGCAGUGGCAGGCAGGUCCUCUGGUGCUGGCUCUGGUGCUGGAUCUGGGGCUACCUCCUGAGCAGCUCCUUGCUCCGGCACGAGGAUGUACUCUCCGUCAGCAAGAUUACAGUCUAUCGAAAUGCAAUGAACAUGUAUGUCAUGAUUAUGCAUGAUUUAAGAACAUUAAGUUUAAAGAAACUAAGUUAAGAAUUAACUUAGGGUUUUCUCAGUUAUGCGGGGCUUCUAGUGGUACAUAGAUAGACUUAUUACUCUUUGGACUUAGAUUUUCAUUUAGGACAACAUAUUGGUUUGGUAUUGCUUUGAUAUAUUUUUGUGGACAGCAAAUAAAGUUUUUAGGGACAACCUUUAUCCAUAUCUUUUAUUUCUCUUCCCUUAAUUUCCAUUUAGGUUUUCUAGGGUAGGUUUGAACUACAACAGGGUUUUAAUAAUUUCCAAAAAUUCUGUAAAAAUUACAGUGGGUUGUCACUGGCUAUUUUAGCUUGUUUUAAGAAUUUGAGGCUUAAGGUAUAAAAGUUAGGCCUUAAACAAAAAUAACAAAAGUUAGGCAAAAAGGGGCACUUUACACUACACCUCCUAGUUAGGGGUAGGCUCUGCCCUAAAGGUUAUUUUUGUUGGCAUCCUCUGGUAAUAAUAGGUCUUUGUGCUAAAAAUCACAGGAAACUAAGGGGUGGUUAAUUAGCUGUGAUUUUCUCAAGUUUAAUGUCAAUAAGGCACUUUCUACUACAUUAUUAUUUGAAAAAUGUCAAACAGCAGAUUUCUUAUUUUUCCUAAGUUCUUUCUGAUAAAUCAAUAGUUAUCCCAAGGGUGGGGGUGUUUUUUUACCUUGGGGUCAUUUUUGUAGGGCUUUUCAAAGUUAUCCUUGUUUUAUUAAAAUAAAAGAUAUCUUCCUUAAUUUGCACUAAUCCAGGGUAUGAUAUAUUUUUCCAGUGAACUAUAUUGAAUAAGUAACCUAACAAAAAUAGAAGUACUCUCUGGUUCAUUAAUUAAGUUGCAUUUUCUAUUUUCCUUAUCUUUAAGCAUAUUAGAGAAUAAAGGGUAAAACUAACUUAAAUGUAAUGGACAGAGGGGUUUAACAUUUUUAAACAGGUUAGUAGGUGAAUAUAAACUUCUCCAAAUUUUCCCAACCCUAGUCAAAUAGCCCAACUAUUUUUCUUACUAUUAUUUAGCUUUUGGCCAAAGUUAACAUUAAAUCAGAACUUUUAAGUUUUCCACAGCACCAAGGGGUUUUACAUUUUUCCUAAAUAGGGUACAUUAUUUAGAGUCUGGCAAAAUUAGUUUGACCAAAUUUGGAUAAACCAAUAAGAAGUUAGGGGUUUUUUAAAGUUUCUGUUUGAAUUUAAAUCAGGUUUUAAUUAAGUUUUCCUGGAAAUACAGUUUGCGCCGAGGUCCCUGGGUUUAAAACAAUUCAAACCUCGCAGAUCUACCCUUAAGGCACUAUUCACUUGAGUCUCUGACCUUUCACUUAACCCCCUGGGUUUCUCUCCCUCUCACCCGCAGUCCCUCCCUCAAUUGAAACAGUAGCCGCGGAAAAAGAAAGGGCGGCGCGGCUUACCGGCGGCGAGGGAGUUCCGGCGAAGGGUGGGGUCGGCUCGGGGAGGGUCUGGCGAUCACGUCGAGGUACGGCUCGUCGUCGGGAACGGCCGGAAUCGCCCGGUCCACGUGAGCAGGCGGGCGAGCUCGUCGGCGGCGUGUGCUCCGGCCUAUCCACGGCGGCAUAGUUCAAUCCAAGGGCAUAGGGAGCUUCGCGGGGUUCUAAGGAGUCUAACCGUGCAAUGAAUCGAAGAGAGGUGCACGGUGUACCUCGGUCCACGGUUGCCGGCGGUCGGUUGAAGUCCGGUGACCUUGGGUCGGCCUCUCCGGUGAAGUAAAGCCCGAUUCCUCGCUCGGGGAGCUUCACGGAGACGUGUACAGUCUUCUCCGAGGGCUGGACGGGGUUGGGAAAGGCUGGGCUGGCCGGUCGACGGUGGCAGGGGCCCGGGUGGCCGCGGGCACGUCGCGUAUGGGCAAACGGCGGCGAACUGAGCUCCGGUGAGGCUUGAGCGCGUGCGGAGGGGUACGGCCAAGGCUCCUGGGCGUUUUAUAGCCGCGGACGCGGACCAGGGCACCGGCUUGGCUCGGGCGCGGCGCGGGGCGCGCUCGGGCGUGCUCUGGCGCGGCAGACGGCGUCGAACACGUGGCGGUUUGUUUCUUCCAGUGUUCAAAUGUCGCCAGAGGUCGCAACCGUGCGAAUCUUUGCAAAGGUCCGGCGCAGACCUCUUCCUGGCACCUAGGGCUGACACUCAACUGUGAGACGCCGGGGCAGAUACGGCCUAGGGAGGGAGAUCUUCGGGUGCCAAAUCAGGUGUGUCACACUGAGCACUUCGCGACAAAAGCCAUGCCAUGGCAUGUCAAACGUCCGAGUCUCGAGCUCAACUUUUUCCAGUGGGUGCCCUAAGUGGUAUUGCACAUUUUUGGUAUAGAGCCCAAGUGGUUUUGGCGCCAUUUUUGAAGUGAACACGGUUGAUCUUUGAUUUAGGGCUAAAAUGGGACUUAGAGGGAAUUAGAGAGCUCUAGCUCUCUCUCCACUUGGAGAAUUGAAAUGGGGUUUCCCUAGGGGCCUUUUUGUAAUAUUUCCCUCCCCUAAAUAAUGGUUAUAAUGUUGCUUAGGGUUUGGGUAAAGAUUACCCAUGCUUUGCACAUUUGCUCACUCUCUUUCCCCUCUUAUCCAUGGUUUGGGAGUUAGGGUUUAAGAGAGGCCUAGGGUUCUUUCCCCCUCUCCCAAGGUGAUAAUUGCACACAAUUAGAGUAAUGCCCUUGGUCAUUCCCAACUCUGGGUAACAACUUAGUUUCCAAAGCCCCUUAUACUUUUGCUCCUUAAGUUCUUCCACAUGUGAUCAUAGUCUUGAGUGCCAAGGUGUGCUCCAGCCAUAGCAACACCUGGGGUGUUACACAGUUUACCAAACAAAUAGCACAUCCUUACUGAACGAUAUAGAGAUUGCCACAUUGCGACUGGUGAAGAAAAAAGAAAAAUAAAUGCAACUGCAUUUGUUAUGAUCCAACAUUCAACUGUACUUUCGGUAAAUGUAAUGCAACUAUAUUGGGGUAUAUAUCUGCUCUAGUUUACCAAACAAAUAGCACAUCCUAACUGAAAAAUCCAGGGUAUGUUUUCCCAUAUAAUCCAUUGCAUAUAUUAAGAUCAGUUUUUGGCACAUUGCAAGUUAAUGCCCACUAGGCUAGGAAGAUAGUUACCAAAAAAAAGUCACCUAAAAUUUACUUGUAGAGAAACGAGCUCGAAUAAUUACCAGCAAGAAGUGUUCCUUUGCGGUUAAACGUGAUACAUUUCACAGUGCCUUGGACGUAAGGUUGGUCAGCCGGUGGAAAAUGGACUUGUUGAGUACUCCUUUAGCAAGGAUGAGAAUGAACAUCUACACUAUGAUAAGUUCUCUAGUUUUUUUUUGAAGCAAUUGCAUGAUGAUGUGACCUAUUUCUUUUCAUUUUUUUUGUUUGUUAAUAUAUUGUCAAUCUAGAUAAUGACUCUAUUAAUAUAACUAUUGAGAGACAUAGCGUAAGCCAAAUAACCCGUUUAUAUCAGUCAACUAUAUUUUGUGAUUAUUUGCUUAUUUAUUUCUUCAGGUUUUCAAACAGUCCGUUCAUUUCAUAAAUGAAGAUUUACAAACAUUUUCCUUGCAUACUGUUGUCCCUCUUUUGGCUACCUUGUUUUUUGGCUUUCGAUUUUUUUUUAUUGUAGAGCAUAUCUAAUAAGUACACACCCAAUUCAGGAAAGCAGGGAUCACAGAUAGUUAUAUAAUCUCUAAAGAUGCAGGAAACAAGUAGAGGUACCGAGGUUUAGC